UGCUUUUCCUCAGGGUCCAAUGACAGGAUAAAUCCUUUGGUUUUAUCUUUUGCAGGAUCUUUCUCAUUAGAGGCUCUUGAGACACAUUUUGGGACUCAGUCAACUGUAUGACACUGUACUGCCAGCCUUUUGGGUGUCAUCAGGAUGGAUUCCUUGGCUUGUGGAAAUACUAUUUUCUCUUCCUGCCUUCGGGUGACUGUACAAACUUUAAAAAAGGAGCCCAGCUGCCACACAGCUCCACGCAGGGUGUCUCGCCAAAAUGCAAAGUUUCACCACAGCUCACAAGCAGACACUGUUUUUCAAGUGAGGAAACAGAGUGCGGUGCCUUUCAGCACCUUUUCCGGCACUUCUUUAAAAAAUGAUUUAAAUUGGAGGCAAUGACACCAAAUGCUGAACAUCUGACACUCAGACAAGAUUUAAUGAAUCAUUCACUUGAACAGCACCACUCUUCUCC
RNAcentral lists this long non-coding RNA (454 nucleotides) under Chinchilla lanigera (long-tailed chinchilla). RNAcentral's name for it is "lncRNA (ENSCLAG00000024359.1)". The record is from RNAcentral. Lineage: Eukaryota; Metazoa; Chordata; Mammalia; Rodentia; Chinchillidae.